This 331-nucleotide long non-coding RNA is filed under the name Brassica napus (rape). RNAcentral's name for it is "long non-coding RNA (BNAP_LNC005174)". The record is from RNAcentral. Lineage: Eukaryota; Viridiplantae; Streptophyta; Magnoliopsida; Brassicales; Brassicaceae.
GACAGUACUAACAGAAAAAAACUAUUAAAAUAUACAAAUUAUACUCCUGAAUGGAAUAAGAUUUUCAUAAAGAUAUAAAUUUGUGUCAAAACUUAAAAAUGCAUAAACUUGUAUCUCUUUUUUUUUGGGCAAAAAACUUGUAUCUCUAUUCCAUUAAUAUAGCAAAUGCAUGGUUGACAAAAAAAACAUUUUGUAGAUUAGAGGGUUAAAGUCAAACUUGUCGCUUGUGAAGAGCGUAGAGCUAAACAAUGCAGACCGUCAUUGUUUUUAGUUCUAUCACUUGGACGAUCGAGAAAAUGUUUGAUCACUGUGGAGGUUUCUGAAAUUUUCG